ACGGGAGGCAGCAGUGGGGAAUAUUGCACAAUGGGCGCAAGCCUGAUGCAGCGACGCCGCGUGCGGGAUGGAGGCCUUCGGGUUGUAAACCGCUUUUGUUCAAGGGCAAGGCACGGUUUUUGGCCGUGUUGAGUGGAUUGUUCGAAUAAGCACCGGCUAACUACGUGCCAGCAGCCGCGGUAAUACGUAGGGUGCAAGCGUUAUCCGGAUUUAUUGGGCGUAAAGGGCUCGUAGGCGGUUCGUCGCGUCCGGUGUGAAAGUCCAUCGCUUAACGGUGGAUCCGCGCCGGGUACGGGCGGGCUUGAGUGCGGUAGGGGAGACUGGAAUUCCCGGUGUAACGGUGGAAUGUGUAGAUAUCGGGAAGAACACCAAUGGCGAAGGCAGGUCUCUGGGCCGUUACUGACGCUGAGGAGCGAAAGCGUGGGGAGCGAACAGGAUUAGAUACCCUGGUA
RNAcentral lists this ribosomal RNA (452 nucleotides) under uncultured Bifidobacterium sp. RNAcentral's name for it is "bacterial SSU rRNA". It matches the Rfam family "Bacterial small subunit ribosomal RNA", at positions 341 to 792 of the family's 1533-position model. The record is from RNAcentral. Lineage: Bacteria; Bacillati; Actinomycetota; Actinomycetes; Bifidobacteriales; Bifidobacteriaceae.